This 439-nucleotide long non-coding RNA is filed under the name Carica papaya (papaya). Its description in RNAcentral is "long non-coding RNA (CPAP_LNC013474)". The record is from RNAcentral. Lineage: Eukaryota; Viridiplantae; Streptophyta; Magnoliopsida; Brassicales; Caricaceae.
UCUAUGCCUACGCAUAAUGUAUGGUAGCUGAUUGAUCCUCCAUAAUAGUGAUGAAGUAUAUAACAUGAAUCUGUUUUCUGGUUUGUGCUUUUGUGUAGCGCCCGGACCGAGAAGGAGAAGGAAAAAAAAAAAAAGCCACGUCGGCAGCCACGUCAGCAGGCCCGGUCAGCAGUCCCGGCCAACCGGGGCCUGCCACGUGGCAAGACCACGUCGCUCCGAAAAGGGGCCACGUUGGCGAUCCGCGUGCGUGCGAUCGGACGGUCCAGAUCAAUCGUGCGAUCGGACGGCCUAGAUGCAAUCGCACGGACGUCCCAGAUUCAAUAAAAAACGAACGGCCCAGAUUAAAACAAAAUGAACGGCUGAGAUCAAAAGGCAAGGGGUUAUAAAUAGAACCCCCACACCAGACCACAAACCCUAGCUGCCUGCUGCUCGCCGGAGA